CGAUAUUUUCUUCUCUAUAUUGCUCUUUCAAUGCUAACAAAGGAGAUAAAGUUCUUGCAACUAAUACUAAUUUGAGCCCUUUAUGAGCAUAUAGUUUAGCCAAUUCAUAUCCAAUACCUGAACUAGCACCUGUUAUUAAAAUAUAUCCUUUAUCCAUUAAUCCUCUUUAUCAAAUAAUAAAAUAUUUAUUCUAUCGUUAUUUCAGUUCCAGUUAAAAGUAAAAAAUAUUUUCUCGCUUAAUAGAUAAUAUUUUACUAUUAAAACUUACUAAAACCACACCCUACGUUACUUGCUUUUAUAUUAAGCCUUGAUUACAGAACAUCCUAACAGUCUCCCAAUCCUCAUAAUAGCUCUUUAUUCAUCAUAACCACAAAAAGGAAAGCAAAAAAAGGAGAAGGAAAAAGAAAGGAAAAUAAAAGUAAAGAUAAGAAGGUAAAGGUAAGAGAAAAAGAAGAAAAGAUAAACUAAGGGAUGUAAAAUGACAAACGAAGAGAUAUAGAGAUAUAAAGAGAUAUAAAAUGAAGUAAGCUGAAGUAAAAAAGAGGCUGAGCUUUGUUUUAGUUUGCUUUAGUUUGGUUUGAUUUGCUUUGGUUUGGUUUGCUUAGUCUUGCCUGCUUUAGCUUUAUCUGAUUUUAUUCCAGCUAGAUUUUUCCGCUGCCACUUUAUCUACCCUCCUUCCCAUAACAAAAACCCCAAGUAUCUCUACCUAGGGCCUCUCAUUUCUACCUGGCGGUGUCCUACUCUCACAUGGGAAGCCCCACACUACCAUCGGCGUUACAGCGUUUCACUUCUAAGUUCGGCAUGGAAUUAGGUGGGUCCACUGCACUAUCGCCGCAAGAUAAUCCUGUUUGAUGAUUUACUCUCAUCUCGCUCUUCACAUCUUCAUACUCUACCCUCAUCCAGUACAGUAUAAGAUUCUCAAUUGUCAACAAGCUGAACUACUAUCCUUUCUCUCCAACCCCUACAGUCAGAAACAUGUCCUCUGUAUUAAAAAUACUUGAGCGUUGUAUAGUUAAGCCUCUCGGGCAAUUAGUAUCUGUUAGCUCAACGUCUCGCAACGCUUACACACCAGACCUAUCUACGUCGUAGUCUACAACAACCCUUACUGACUCUAAGUCAGGGAUGACUCAUCUUAAGGCAAGUUUCGUGCUUAGAUGCUUUCAGCACUUAUCUCUUCCGCAUUUAGCUACCCAGCAAUGCCUCUGGCGAGACAACUGGAACACCAGUGAUGCGUCCACUCCGGUCCUCUCGUACUAGGAGCAGCCCCUUUCAAUCAUCCAACGCCCACGGCAGAUAGGGACCGAACUGUCUCACGACGUUCUAAACCCAGCUCGCGUACCACUUUAAAUGGCGAACAGCCAUACCCUUGGGACCUACUUCAGCCCCAGGAUGUGAUGAGCCGACAUCGAGGUGCCAAACACCGCCGUCGAUAUGAACUCUUGGGCGGUAUCAGCCUGUUAUCCCCGGAGUACCUUUUAUCCGUUGAGCGAUGGCCCUUCCAUUCAGAACCACCGGAUCACUAUGACCUGCUUUCGCACCUGCUCGACUUGUCUGUCUCGCAGUUAGCUUGCUUAUACCAUUGCACUAACCUGACGAUGUCCGACCGUCAUUAGCAAACCUUCGUGCUCCUCCGUUACGCUUUGGGAGGAGACCGCCCCAGUCAAACUACCCACCAGACACUGUCCGAGUACCCGUUUCAGGCACUUCGUUAGAACAUCAAACGUUAAAGGGUGGUAUUUCAAGGACGCCUCCAACAACACUGGCGUGUCAUCUUCAAAGGCUCCCACCUAUCCUACACAUCAAAAUUCAAUGUUCAGUGUCAAGCUAUAGUAAAGGUUCACGGGGUCUUUCCGUCUAGCCGCGGGUACACCGCAUCUUCACGGCGAUUUCAAUUUCACUGAGUCUCGGGUGGAGACAGCCUGGCCAUCAUUAUGCCAUUCGUGCAGGUCGGAACUUACCCGACAAGGAAUUUCGCUACCUUAGGACCGUUAUAGUUACGGCCGCCGUUUACUGGGGCUUCGAUCAGGAGCUUCUCUUUCGAUAACACCAUCAAUUAACCUUCCAGCACCGGGCAGGCAUCACACCCUAUACGUCCACUUUCGUGUUUGCAGAGUGCUGUGUUUUUAAUAAACAGUUGCAGCCAGCUGUAUCUUCGACCGGUUCAACCUUCAAUCGCGAGGAUUUACAAUCUACGCCGGCGCACCUUCUCCCGAAGUUACGGUGCUAUUUUGCCUAGUUCCUUCACCCGAGUUCUCUCAAGCGCCUGAGUAUUCUCUACCUGACCACCUGUGUCGGUUUUCAGUACGGUUUAGAUAAACCUGAAGCUUAGUGGCUUUUCCUGGAAGUGUGGUAUCAGUUACUUCAGUGCCGUAGCACCUCGUCAUCAGCUCUCAGUGUUGUAUAAGAGACCGGAUUUGCCUAAUCUCUCCACCUACCACCUUAAACGACCAUCCAACAGGUCGAUAACCUAACCUUCUCCGUCCCCACAUCGCAGUUUAUCCAAGUACGGGAAUAUUAACCCGUUUCCCAUCGACUACGCUUUUCAGCCUCGCCUUAGGGGCCGACUCACCCUGCCCCGAUUAACGUUGGACAGGAACCCUUGGUCUUCCGGCGAACGAGUUUUUCACUCGUUUUAUCGUUACUUAUGUCAGCAUUCGCACUUGUGAUACGUCCAGCAAACCUCUCGAUUCACCUUCAUCCGCUUACACAACGCUCCCCUACCCAACAGAAUAAAUUCUGAUGCCGCAGCUUCGGUGCUAUAUUAGCCCCGUUACAUCUUCCGCGCAGGCCGACUCGACUAGUGAGCUAUUACGCUUUCUUUAAAUGAUGGCUGCUUCUAAGCCAACAUCCUAGCUGUCUAAGCCUUCCCACUUCGUUUCCCACUUAAUAUAGACUUUGGGACCUUAGCUGGCGGUCUGGUUGUUUCCCCUCUCCACGACGAACGUUAGCACCCGCCGUGUGUCUCCUGAGUAUCACUCUUCGGUAUUCGCAGGUUUGCAUCGGGUUGGUAAUCCGGGAUGGACCCCUAGCCGAAACAGUGCUCUACCCCCGAAGGUGUCCGCUCAAGGCUCUACCUAAAUAGAUUUCGGGGAGAACCAGCUAUCUCCCGGUUUGAUUGGCCUUUCACCCCCAGCCACAAGUCAUCCGGCUAAUGUUUUCAACAUUAGUGGUUCGGUCCUCCAGUUAGGUUACCCAACCCGAUCAAACUGCGAAUACCGAAGAGUGAUACUCAGGAGACACACGGCGGGUGCUAACGUUCGUCGUGGAGAGGGAAACAACCCAGACCGCCAGCUAAGGUCCCAAAGUCUAUAUUAAGUGGGAAACGAAGUGGGAAGGCUUAGACAGCUAGGAUGUUGGCUUAGAAGCAGCCAUCAUUUAAAGAAAGCGUAAUAGCUCACUAGUCGAGUCGGCCUGCGCGGAAGAUGUAACGGGGCUAAAUAUAGCACCGAAGCUGCGGCAUCAGAAUUUAUUCUGUUGGGUAGGGGAGCGUUGUGUAAGCGGAUGAAGGUGAAUCGAGAGGUUUGCUGGACGUAUCACAAGUGCGAAUGCUGACAUAAGUAACGAUAAAACGAGUGAAAAACUCGUUCGCCGGAAGACCAAGGGUUCCUGUCCAACGUUAAUCGGGGCAGGGUGAGUCGGCCCCUAAGGCGAGGCUGAAAAGCGUAGUCGAUGGGAAACGGGUUAAUAUUCCCGUACUUGGAUAAACUGCGAUGUGGGGACGGAGAAGGUUAGGUUAUCGACCUGUUGGAUGGUCGUUUAAGGUGGUAGGUGGAGAGAUUAGGCAAAUCCGGUCUCUUAUACAACACUGAGAGCUGAUGACGAGGUGCUACGGCACUGAAGUAACUGAUACCACACUUCCAGGAAAAGCCACUAAGCUUCAGGUUUAUCUAAACCGUACUGAAAACCGACACAGGUGGUCAGGUAGAGAAUACUCAGGCGCUUGAGAGAACUCGGGUGAAGGAACUAGGCAAAAUAGCACCGUAACUUCGGGAGAAGGUGCGCCGGCGUAGAUUGUAAAUCCUCGCGAUUGAAGGUUGAACCGGUCGAAGAUACCAGCUGGCUGCAACUGUUUAUUAAAAACACAGCACUCUGCAAACACGAAAGUGGACGUAUAGGGUGUGAUGCCUGCCCGGUGCUGGAAGGUUAAUUGAUGGUGUUAUCGAAAGAGAAGCUCCUGAUCGAAGCCCCAGUAAACGGCGGCCGUAACUAUAACGGUCCUAAGGUAGCGAAAUUCCUUGUCGGGUAAGUUCCGACCUGCACGAAUGGCAUAAUGAUGGCCAGGCUGUCUCCACCCGAGACUCAGUGAAAUUGAAAUCGCCGUGAAGAUGCGGUGUACCCGCGGCUAGACGGAAAGACCCCGUGAACCUUUACUAUAGCUUGACACUGAACAUUGAAUUUUGAUGUGUAGGAUAGGUGGGAGCCUUUGAAGAUGACACGCCAGUGUUGUUGGAGGCGUCCUUGAAAUACCACCCUUUAACGUUUGAUGUUCUAACGAAGUGCCUGAAACGGGUACUCGGACAGUGUCUGGUGGGUAGUUUGACUGGGGCGGUCUCCUCCCAAAGCGUAACGGAGGAGCACGAAGGUUUGCUAAUGACGGUCGGACAUCGUCAGGUUAGUGCAAUGGUAUAAGCAAGCUUAACUGCGAGACAGACAAGUCGAGCAGGUGCGAAGCAGGUCAUAGUGAUCCGGUGGUUCUGAAUGGAAGGGCCAUCGCUCAACGGAUAAAAGGUACUCCGGGGAUAACAGGCUGAUACCGCCCAAGAGUUCAUAUCGACGGCGGUGUUUGGCACCUCGAUGUCGGCUCAUCACAUCCUGGGGCUGAAGUAGGUCCCAAGGGUAUGGCUGUUCGCCAUUUAAAGUGGUACGCGAGCUGGGUUUAGAACGUCGUGAGACAGUUCGGUCCCUAUCUGCCGUGGGCGUUGGAUGAUUGAAAGGGGCUGCUCCUAGUACGAGAGGACCGGAGUGGACGCAUCACUGGUGUUCCAGUUGUCUCGCCAGAGGCAUUGCUGGGUAGCUAAAUGCGGAAGAGAUAAGUGCUGAAAGCAUCUAAGCACGAAACUUGCCUUAAGAUGAGUCAUCCCUGACUUAGAGUCAGUAAGGGUUGUUGUAGACUACGACGUAGAUAGGUCUGGUGUGUAAGCGUUGCGAGACGUUGAGCUAACAGAUACUAAUUGCCCGAGAGGCUUAACUAU
This 5192-nucleotide ribosomal RNA is filed under the name Pasteurella canis. RNAcentral's name for it is "23S ribosomal RNA". The stretch from base 2807 to 5192 matches the Rfam family "Bacterial large subunit ribosomal RNA". Lineage: Bacteria; Pseudomonadati; Pseudomonadota; Gammaproteobacteria; Pasteurellales; Pasteurellaceae. The record is from RNAcentral.